This 625-nucleotide ribosomal RNA is filed under the name uncultured bacterium. RNAcentral's name for it is "bacterial SSU rRNA". It matches the Rfam family "Bacterial small subunit ribosomal RNA", at positions 8 to 589 of the family's 1533-position model. The record is from RNAcentral.
AGAGUUUGAUCAUGGCUCAGGAUGAACGCUGGCGGCAUGCCUAAGACAUGCAAGUCGAACGAGAUGGCCCAGUGAAGGUUGCGUGCUUGCACAAGACUGAAUCUGGAUCACCAUCUAGUGGCAGACGGGUGAGUAACACGUGGGUGACCUACCUUUUCGUUGGGGAUAACAGUUGGAAACGAUUGCUAAUACCGAAUAAAAUAUAAGAGCCAAUUUUAUAUUGAAAGGAGCCUUUAAAGCUUCGCGAUUAGAUGGGCCUGCGGCGUAUUAACUUGUUGGUGAGGUAACGGCUCACCAAGGUAACGAUUUUUUUUCCGAACUGAGAGGUUGAUCGGCCACACUGGGACUGAGACACGGCCCAGACUCCUACGGGAGACAGCAGUUAGGAAUAUUCGUCAAUGGGGGAAACCCUGAACGAGCAAUGCCGCGUGAGUGAUGACGGUCCUUUGGAUUGUAAAACUCUGUUGUAUGGAAAAAAUGACUAGGUUAGGAAAUGAACCUAGUGUGAUGGUACCAUACCAGAAAGCCCCGGCUAACUACGUGCCAGCAGCCGCGGUAAUACGUAGGGGGCAAGCGUUAUCCGGAUUUAUUGGGCGUAAAGCGUGUGUAGGCGGUUUGUUAAGUU